GAACGAGAAAGUGGAGCAAUCCAUGAGUAAAGUGGCGACCGGGUGAGUAACACGUGACUAACCUGCCCUUGAGUGGGGGAUAACCUCGGGAAACCGGGGCUAAUACCGCAUAACAUCGCAAGAUCAAAGGAGCAAUCCGCUGAAGGAGGGGGUCGCGGCUGAUUAGUUAGUUGGUGAGGUAACGGCUCACCAAGACGAAGAUCAGUAGCCGGCCUGAGAGGGCGCACGGCCACACUGGAACUGAAACACGGUCCAGACUCCUACGGGAGGCAGCAGUGGGGAAUUUUGCGCAAUGGGGGAAACCCUGACGCAGCAACGCCGCGUGGAGGAUGAAGUCCCUUGGGAUGUAAACUCCUUUCGAUCGGGACGAUGAUGACGGUACCGGAAGAAGAAGCACCGGCUAACUCUGUG
RNAcentral lists this ribosomal RNA (411 nucleotides) under uncultured bacterium. RNAcentral's name for it is "bacterial SSU rRNA". It matches the Rfam family "Bacterial small subunit ribosomal RNA", at positions 64 to 507 of the family's 1533-position model. The record is from RNAcentral.